CGCCAGACUCCUACGGGAGGCAGCAGUGGGGAAUAUUGCACAAUGGGGGAAACCCUGAUGCAGCGACGCCGCGUGAAGGACGAAGUAUUUCGGUACGUAAACUUCUAUCAGCAGGGAAGAAAAUGACGGUACCUGACCAAGAAGCCCCGGCUAACUACGUGCCAGCAGCCGCGGUAAUACGUAGGGGGCAAGCGUUAUCCGGAUUUACUGGGUGUAAAGGGAGCGUAGACGGCCGUGCAAGUCUGAUGUGAAAACCCGGGGCUCAACCCCGGGACUGCAUUGGAAACUGCAUGGCUGGAGUGUCGGAGAGGCAAGUGGAAUUCCUAGUGUAGCGGUGAAAUGCGUAGAUAUUAGGAGGAACACCAGUGGCGAAGGCGACUUCCUGGACAGUAACUGACGUUGAGGCACGAAAGUGUGGGGAGCAAACAGGAUUAGAUACCCCAGUAA
RNAcentral lists this ribosomal RNA (447 nucleotides) under uncultured bacterium. RNAcentral describes it as "bacterial SSU rRNA". It matches the Rfam family "Bacterial small subunit ribosomal RNA", at positions 329 to 793 of the family's 1533-position model. The record is from RNAcentral.